CAGACAAGCUGUUGGAUUUCUGGUAAUACAUCAAAAGAGGAAGAAAUCUUUGGAAGAGAUAAGACAGGACCUUUGCCCGGCAUUGACAACCCGACAAAUUUAUCGAAUUAGUACCAUGUAUUGGGAUGACAAGUAUGGAACUCAAAGUGUGUCAAACGAAGUUGUCGCACAGAUGAGGGAGAUUUUAAACAAGGAUUCUCAGAAUCUAACAUCUAACUCAUUUUUGUUGGAUGAUGAUCUGAGUAUUCCGUUUUUAACAGAAGACAUAUAUAUGGCACUUCCGGAGUUAGAUCCUUCACUUAUGGAGCUGCCAAAGUUCCUAUCUGAAUAUCCAUCAGCAUUGCUUAUGAUACAGCACACAAAGUAAACUUUUUAUGUGCGUGUUUGGAAUAUUCUCGUCUUGUACAACUCCAGUCUCCACUCGCAAUGUGCAACAUCUACCUAUUCUUGUCUGGGGAAAACUGCGUCUCAAGAUGGCUAACUGAUUCCCAGCAAUGCAGGUCAAGUUGUCCCCCCCCCAAAAAAAUCCCUUCAGUUUGUUUACACGGCAGUCUAG
RNAcentral lists this unclassified non-coding RNA (556 nucleotides) under Hevea brasiliensis (rubber tree). Lineage: Eukaryota; Viridiplantae; Streptophyta; Magnoliopsida; Malpighiales; Euphorbiaceae. The record is from RNAcentral.